RNAcentral lists this long non-coding RNA (649 nucleotides) under Phascolarctos cinereus (koala). RNAcentral describes it as "lncRNA (ENSPCIG00000031202.1)". The record is from RNAcentral. Lineage: Eukaryota; Metazoa; Chordata; Mammalia; Diprotodontia; Phascolarctidae.
ACCCAGUCUAAAAUGUGACUUGUGUAGCUAUAGGAUGACUCUGUACUCCCUUUUUCUAUACAGGAAAUGUUGAGGUUGUGAGAGAACUGGAGGGAUAUUAGGCCAUCGUAAGAGUACUCUCCCCGCUGAGUCUCUGUCUCUGCUGAGUUUUGCUCUAAGAAUCUUGAAUGCUGACGUUCGUAGCCAGGAGAAGACAUGGUUUAUUUCUCUCUGACCAGGUUAUCCUUCUAAGCCGACAGAAACUGCUGGAAUGGUGUCUGUCCUAGGAGUUCACCUAAAUGAGUUCAUGCCAUUACUUAUCUGGGAAGAAGGUCUUUUCAAAUCAUCUCAUUCCCAGCUUGAGCUCUGAGAACUUCCAAGAAGAGUAAGAAGAAAACCUAAGUAUGGUUAGUAAACUUCAAAAUAGUUUUUUUUAUAAUUGCUGUUUCUCUUCUGGGGAAUAGCCUGUGAUUGAGAACAGGUGAAGAUAGGUGCUUUGGGAUGCGGAUAAAACUUGAAAGCAAAUGCCACAAAUUUCCCUUUAAUGUAGAGUGACCUCAAUCAAAGACCCAAACUCCUUUAAUAUUAACCAGAUGUAGGAAAGUAGUCUUCUAGGGAUUCAGCUCUCUCUACUAUGCAGUCUGCCCUGCCCUGCCCUGCCCAACCCGGC